GCGAGUGCGUUGUCGUUGAGUGGUUCUGAAAUCGCUGCGUUAGGGGCGACUGCAACCAAGCGUUGCGGCAAGUUACGGUGGGAGCUUCUGUCCGUGCUGUGUGAUUGCGACGAGGGGACCGCCGCCAGCAGCAGCGUAUCGCCGAUUUCGUCUUUCGGUUUGCACUGCAUCUUUCAUUGUGAUAUGGGAGAUCGCAACGGACAGAGACGACCAGAUGCAUACGAACCACUACCAGCGGGGACCUGUGACCUGUGCCAUAUUUCUCUUAACGUCUCAGGUAUUCAAGAAAUGCCAACAUCCAGAAGACGCCAUCUUAUCCAGCACGUUAUGGGUACACUCUGGUGGCUCCCGCCCCUGCAUCCUACCACCACUGUGUCCUGACUACGUCCACUAGAGAGUUCGAAGCCUUUGGCGGCUCCUGCCACUGCGUCCUGCCACCACCGUGUCCUGACUACGUCCACUAGGGAGUUGGCAGCCUUCGUGAUGAUGCCAAGCAGGCUGGAAGCCGGCAGAAAGAUUAAGGUUGCCUCGAAAUUUUACCAAAGCCGUACCACACACUCGGGCCAGGCCUUUUUGCAAACGGCGUAUAACCAAGCUCAACGCAUGAGUGUCGAGUGAGUCUGGAGAUCAAGGCAACCUGCUGUGCAACCAGCAUGCAACCUUUGGUGACCCCUCUACAUGUUCCACCUAUUUCACAGCUGCACCUCAGCUGCAACUUAUCCAAACAGCAUCACCAACUGUGGUCACUCAUCGAACCAUGGAUGAAUGUUGGGGUGGAGUGAUUUGAAGAGACAUUCUAUUUGUCUCUUCAAAUUCUUAGCAAAUACUUGUGUUAUUAUAAUUAAUAUGUGUCUUUA
This is a long non-coding RNA of Dermacentor albipictus, 857 nucleotides long. RefSeq lists it as uncharacterized. NCBI's taxonomy places the organism in Eukaryota, Metazoa, Arthropoda, Arachnida, Ixodida, Ixodidae. The record is from RefSeq and is a predicted model, not a curated record.